GCAUUACACCUCAUUCAUCACUAGGAAUUUCAAUCAUGCUUUCCACUUCAUCUCACACACUCUCUUCGUUCCAUCACCCCAAACAAAGUUCAAGAGCAGAGCAACCAAGCAAACUCAGCAGCCAACCAUUUCAGAAAUUGAAGUGAAAUUCUAAAGGCUUUGUGACCAGGGGGAUUAGCGCUGUUUUCCCAAGACAGGUUUUUAUGUGUAUGAUCUUCAGGCUUUGCCUAUCCAGGUUGGCUGGCCGGUGCUGACGGGACGGAGCUGAGGCUAGAGAUAAAUUCCUAUGUUAGACUUCCGCUGUAGCAAUUAAUAUCAGUCUUUUGUUUUUCCCAACUUAAGAUCUUCAUGUUAAAUUUCAAAUGAUAUAUUUGACCGAGCUUAGACUCUUCACUACUAAAUUUAUGCUAAUGAAUGUCAGUUGUCAGAAGCAUGAAACAAAACUUGUGAUCCAAAGGGGCAUAGCCCGACUUUCUAUCCUAUUUCGGGUUUUUACAAAGUAUUUCCCUUGUUUAUUUCUAUGAAUUAUUUAUACCUCAAUUAUAUUUAUUC
This is a long non-coding RNA of Salvia miltiorrhiza (redroot sage), 552 nucleotides long. RefSeq lists it as uncharacterized. The record is from RefSeq and is a predicted model, not a curated record. The transcript is spliced from 3 exons. Lineage: Eukaryota; Viridiplantae; Streptophyta; Magnoliopsida; Lamiales; Lamiaceae.